GGCGCCGGAGCACGCCGCGUGGCCGUCUUCUCCGUCGAGGCCGACGGCGGAGAUGGCGAUGCCCCUCGGCGCAUGGAGCUGCUCUGAACGGUCGAGACGCCCGUCGUUCCGUGGCAUCUGGUUGCUGUUCGCGGGUGGGAGCUGGCCGUGGGCUGUGGCUGGUGUUCGCUAUAUUUCUCAUUUCUUUCUAGAGAGAUUGUGGCGGCAUCCUUGUCCAUAUUGGUUCUUGGAUCGGAGUCGUUCUCGGUGGAUAACGAGUCUGUGAGGUACAGAAGAAUUAUUGCGCUGCAAUGCCAGUUCUUCCUCGCGAUGUUUAUGUCGAAAUUAGAGUUUGGGGCUGAACAGAGUUGCAUCUAUGAGCGUCCACUGCGGAUUCUGCAACACGGUCGAAAGGACCUAUUAUUGGUGCUUCUCAGCGUAGUGUGAAGAGUCCAUGAUGGCGAUGAUUUGGUGCACUUCCAGCAGGCAGGCUCACCACCUCGAUGGCUCCUCCACCAGUCCACCUGUUCAAAGGAGGGAAAGGGGAUUCAGAAAUUCCAUUGGAGGGGGGUCCACUGCACUGGGCCUCAACCAUUAAAUCCCACUUUUGUUGAAAUGUCAUUCUUUGGUGGUAUUGAUUUCUUCUCCUUUAUUGUGGAGCGCCACUAAAUAUGCAUGGUAUAUUCCCUGAUAAUUCCAAAGAACUAUUUGUAGACUGAUUAACAGUAUAUUACAUGGUAUUUUUCUCUCCUCUUUGCCUUUUAUUACCUAUGACAAUAUCAGGCUGAACUGAUUCAGUUGGAUGCAAGGAAGUGAUUUUUAACUUAAACUGAAGAAUUAGGAGAUGAAUGCUUGAUAAGCACGAAGUAGUGGCAAAGCAGGAAGGCCACACUCCCCAAUCUCCAUAUUCUAAAAAGUGCAUCUCAAAAGAGGAGAUUGCCUCUUCAACUUUUUGUAAAAGGCACCUUUAUUUUUGUAUUGUGGAUCUGUAGAUUUUGCCUCCAGGUAAAAUUUCAGUACCCUCAGUCUGUUGGUAAAGAUUGGUUUGUUGGGGUUAAGCAGCAGAAAGCAUGGCAAUGGGUCGAAAGCUGCUACCAAAUUAUUACCAGUAAAAAGCCCCCAAACAAGGAUAGGAAUGGAGAAUUGUCAGCAGAAGGAAUAGCUGCAGAAUUGAUAUUUGGUGAGACAGGAAUAGCAUGAAUAGGGAUUUCCAGACAUUGCCACGCGCCCCACACAGCAGGUAAAAGGAUUCCUCUCCCCUUCUAUCCUGCAAUCCUCUGCCCUGCCUCCCCUGCAGAUCAUGGAGGAUGCUUGGCAGGAGCGUCUCCUGCGUAAGCAGUAAAGCAGUAGAAGGAUGGAGGACAAUGGCUGAGCUGGGCUCCUCCUCAUCAAUCAUCAGUUUGUAUUUGCCCAUGCCUCUCAUGGCCUUCUUCCCUGGCUUCCAGUUCCAGAUGGCUCGGUGAGGCGUGGACAGAAACCGGCAAGUCAGAAAUCGGCAAUGGUGAGCUCCUACAGGAGCCUACUCCUUAUUUACCAGUUUUAAGUUUUCCCUCUUCCUGUUGUUCCUCGUUUUCUUUCGUUCCUUCUUCUUUUUUCUUACCUUAAAGUUGUAUCUGGUUAGAGCAGAAGAUUUCAUUAGAAGUCUUGCUUUCUGGAGAUAAUUCUUUUAUGUUUGUUUUGGAUUAUCCUACUUGAACUGCUCGUGUCCCUCGUAAAGAUGGCAUGUGACCUUGUAUUGUCGAAUCUGCAACCUUA
Long non-coding RNA from Panicum hallii, 1734 nucleotides. RefSeq lists it as uncharacterized. The record is from RefSeq and is a predicted model, not a curated record. The transcript is spliced from 6 exons. NCBI's taxonomy places the organism in Eukaryota, Viridiplantae, Streptophyta, Magnoliopsida, Poales, Poaceae.